UACGGGGGGGGCAAGCGUUGUUCGGAAUUACUGGGCGUAAAGGGCUCGUAGGUGGCCAACUAAGUCAGACGUGAAAUCCCUCGGCUUAACCGGGGAACUGCGUCUGAUACUGGAUGGCUUGAGGUUGGGAGAGGGAUGCGGAAUUCCUGGUGUAGCGGGUGGAAUGCGCAGAUAUCAGGAGGAACACCGGUGGCGAAGGCGGGG
Molecule: ribosomal RNA, 204 nt
Filed under: uncultured bacterium
Lineage: Bacteria
Description: partial 16S ribosomal RNA
Rfam family: Bacterial small subunit ribosomal RNA
Source: RNAcentral